GAUGAACGCUAGCUACAGGCUUAACACAUGCAAGUCGAGGGGCAGCAUGAACUUAGCUUGCUAAGUUUGAUGGCGACCGGCGCACGGGUGAGUAACACGUAUCCAACCUGCCGAUGACUCGGGGAUAGCCUUUCGAAAGAAAGAUUAAUACCCGAUGGCAUAGUUCUUCCGCAUGGUAGAACUAUUAAAGAAUUUCGGUCAUCGAUGGGGAUGCGUUCCAUUAGGUUGUUGGCGGGGUAACGGCCCACCAAGCCUUCGAUGGAUAGGGGUUCUGAGAGGAAGGUCCCCCACAUUGGAACUGAGACACGGUCCAAAACUCCUACGGGAGGCAGCAGUGAGGAAUAUUGGUCAAAUGGACGAGAGUCUGAACCAGCCAAGUAGCGUGAAGGAUGACUGCCCUAUGGGUUGUAAACUUCUUUAUACGGGAAUAAAGUGAGGCACGUGUGCCUUUUGUAUGUACCGUAUGAAUAAGGAUCGGCUAACUCCGUGCCAGCAGCCGCGGU
This 503-nucleotide ribosomal RNA is filed under the name uncultured bacterium. Its description in RNAcentral is "bacterial SSU rRNA". It matches the Rfam family "Bacterial small subunit ribosomal RNA", at positions 28 to 521 of the family's 1533-position model. The record is from RNAcentral.